UGCAAGUCUGGUGCCAGCAGCCGCGGUAAUUCCAGCUCCAAUAGCGUAUAUUAAAGUUGUUGCAGUUAAAAAGCUCGUAGUUGAAACUUGGGCCUGGCUGGCGGGUCCGCCUCACCGCGUGCACUCGUCCGGCCGGGCCUUCCUUCUGAAGAACCUCAUGCCCUUCACUGGGCGUGUUGGGGAAUCAGGACUUUUACUUUGAAAAAAUUAGAGUGUUCAAAGCAGGCCUUUGCUCGAAUACGUUAGCAUGGAAUAAUAAAAUAGGGCGUGCGUUUCUAUUUUGUUGGUUUCUAGAGACGCCGCAAUGAUUAACAGGAACAGUCGGGGGCAUCAGUAUUCAGUUGUCAGAGGUGAAAUUCUUGGAUUUACUGAAGACUAACUACUGCGAAAGCAUUUGCCAAGGAUGUUUUCAUUAAUCAGUGAACGAAAGUUAGGGGAUCGAAGACGAUCAGAUACCGUCGUAGUCUUAACCGUAAACUAUGCCGACUAGGGAUCGGGCGAUGUUCUUUUUCUGACUCGCUCGGCACCUUACGAGAAAUCAAAGUUUUUGGGUUCUGGGGGGAUUAUGGUCGCAAGGCUGAAACUUAAAGGAAUUGACGGAAG
RNAcentral lists this ribosomal RNA (603 nucleotides) under Pleosporaceae sp. 30h02. Its description in RNAcentral is "SSU rRNA". It matches the Rfam family "Eukaryotic small subunit ribosomal RNA", at positions 554 to 1162 of the family's 1831-position model. Lineage: Eukaryota; Fungi; Ascomycota; Dothideomycetes; Pleosporales; Pleosporaceae. The record is from RNAcentral.